CCUCGCUUGGUGCCAGUACAGCAUUCACAGUCUACUACCUGAAUGGAUCAAGUACAGCACAGGUUGGACUAGGUCAUUUACCAUCAUGUCGGGCUCAAGGACUGGAUGCUGGUGGUAGUGGUCAGUAUUUACGACUGACUAAUACUAAUACCAGUACAACUAUAGCUGAACAGGGAGCAUUUACUCUGACAGCUUUUAGCGAUACCCCUAGACUAUUCUGGAACACAUCAUCACACUUGACUUUGGACCCAACCUACACUGGACUGUACAGGUGUACUACAGAUACAGCAGUAUCAACACAGACAUAUCAACUCAAUGUUGUAGUUCCACCUACCAUACUGUCAUUGAACACAUCGGAUACAGUUGACAACAACACUGUGCACCCCAUCAGUUGUACAGGCCAGGGAUACCCGGAACCUACAGUGACACUAAUGGUCGACAAUGUGGUAGUCACUGGCACUGAUACCAACAAUUGUGCUGCUGGUGUGUGUACAAAGACACGAACAGCAUCACUAGAUGGUAGUAACUACACACCUGGUGACACCAUCAACAUCACAUGUAUUGUGGAUAUCAACCCACCACCAUUCACCUGUACUGCUGCUCAGAAUUCAACUCUACAGACUCAGUGCACUACUUCUGUCAAUACCAGGUCACAAACAAUAAUGUUAACUGUAGUUGCGCAAUGUCCAUAUCUUGAUGAUCUCGGCUUCAAUUACAAACCUAUUUCCGGUUUCAGCAGGACGUUUGGCAGCAACCUUUCCAUACAGUGCCGAACAGGUUACCUGUCCACCGACGCUCUCAGUACCACCACAACUUCAUGCCAAAGUGGUGGAGUAUGGAGUCCAAGUC
This is a long non-coding RNA of Sycon ciliatum, 849 nucleotides long. RefSeq lists it as uncharacterized. The transcript is spliced from 3 exons. NCBI's taxonomy places the organism in Eukaryota, Metazoa, Porifera, Calcarea, Leucosolenida, Sycettidae. The record is from RefSeq and is a predicted model, not a curated record.